This 524-nucleotide ribosomal RNA is filed under the name uncultured bacterium. RNAcentral describes it as "bacterial SSU rRNA". It matches the Rfam family "Bacterial small subunit ribosomal RNA", at positions 355 to 896 of the family's 1533-position model. The record is from RNAcentral.
UGGGGAAUAUUGGACAAUGGACCAAAAGUCUGAUCCAGCAAUUCUGUGUGCACGAUGACGUUUUUCGGAAUGUAAAGUGCUUUCAGUUGGGAAGAAAAAAAUGACGGUACCAACAGAAGAAGUGACGGCUAAAUACGUGCCAGCAGCCGCGGUAAUACGUAUGUCACAAGCGUUAUCCGGAUUUAUUGGGCGUAAAGCGCGUCUAGGUGGUUAUGUAAGUCUGAUGUGAAAAUGCAGGGCUCAACUCUGUAUUGCGUUGGAAACUGCAUGACUAGAGUACUGGAGAGGUAAGCGGAACUACAAGUGUAGAGGUGAAAUUCGUAGAUAUUUGUAGGAAUGCCGAUGGGGAAGCCAGCUUACUGGACAGAUACUGACGCUAAAGCGCGAAAGCGUGGGUAGCAAACAGGAUUAGAUACCCUGGUAGUCCACGCCGUAAACGAUGAUUACUAGGUGUUGGGGGUCGAACCUCAGCGCCCAAGCUAACGCGAUAAGUAAUCCGCCUGGGGAGUACGNNUCCAAGUAUG